RNAcentral lists this microRNA precursor (103 nucleotides) under Marmota monax (woodchuck). The record is from RNAcentral. Lineage: Eukaryota; Metazoa; Chordata; Mammalia; Rodentia; Sciuridae.
AGUGGAAUAGCUGGGUCCAAUGGUGUUUCGAUUCUAAGUUUUCAAAGGAAUUUCCAUACUGUUUUCCAGAGUAGUUGCACCAAUUUGCAGUCCUACCAGCAAU